GUUGGGUAGGGGAGCGUUCUGUAAGCCUGCGAAGGUGUACUGUGAGGUAUGCUGGAGGUAUCAGAAGUGCGAAUGCUGACAUAAGUAACGAUAAUGCGGGUGAAAAACCCGCACGCCGGAAGACCAAGGGUUCCUGUCCAACGUUAAUCGGGGCAGGGUGAGUCGACCCCUAAGGCGAGGCUGAAAAGCGUAGUCGAUGGGAAACGGGUUAAUAUUCCCGUACUGGUGGUAACUGCGAUGGGGGAACGGAGAAGGCUAGGUUGUCCGGGCGACGGUCGUCCCGGUUCAAGCAGGUAGGCAGAGUGAUUAGGCAAAUCCGGUCACUUAAUGCUGAGAUGUGAUGACGAACCACUAAGGUGGUGAAGCAAUUGAUGCCCCGCUUCCAGGAAAAGCCUCUAAGCUUCAGGUUACCAACAAUCGUACCCCAAACCGACACAGGUGGUCAGGUAGAGAAUACUCAGGCGCUUGAGAGAACUCGGGUGAAGGAACUAGGCAAAAUGGUGCCGUAACUUCGGGAGAAGGCACGCUGGCGGUAGGUAAAGUCCCUCGCGGACGGCGCUGAAGCCAGUCGAAGAUACCAGCUGGCUGCAACUGUUUAUUAAAAACACAGCACUGUGCAAACACGAAAGUGGACGUAUACGGUGUGACGCCUGCCCGGUGCUGGAAGGUUAAUUGAUGGGGUUAGCCGUAAGGCGAAGCUCCUGAUCGAAGCCCCAGUAAACGGCGGCCGUAACUAUAACGGUCCUAAGGUAGCGAAAUUCCUUGUCGGGUAAGUUCCGACCUGCACGAAUGGCGUAAUGAUGGCCAGGCUGUCUCCACCCGAGACUCAGUGAAAUUGAACUCGCUGUGAAGAUGCAGUGUACCCGCGGCAAGACGGAAAGACCCCGUGAACCUUUACUAUAGCUUGACACUGAACAUUGAGCCUUGAUGUGUAGGAUAGGUGGGAGGCUUUGAAGUGUGGACGCCAGUCUGCAUGGAGCCAACCUUGAAAUACCACCCUUUAACGUUUGAUGUUCUAACCUAGGCCCAUAAACUGGGUCGGGGACCGUGUCUGGUGGGUAGUUUGACUGGGGCGGUCUCCUCCUAAAGAGUAACGGAGGAGCACGAAGGUUGGCUAAGCAUGGUCGGACAUCAUGCGGUUAGUGCAAAGGCAUAAGCCAGCUUGACUGCGAGAGUGACGGCUCGAGCAGGUACGAAAGUAGGUCUUAGUGAUCCGGUGGUUCUGAAUGGAAGGGCCAUCGCUCAACGGAUAAAAGGUACUCCGGGGAUAACAGGCUGAUACCGCCCAAGAGUUCAUAUCGACGGCGGUGUUUGGCACCUCGAUGUCGGCUCAUCACAUCCUGGGGCUGAAGUAGGUCCCAAGGGUAUGGCUGUUCGCCAUUUAAAGUGGUACGCGAGCUGGGUUUAGAACGUCGUGAGACAGUUCGGUCCCUAUCUGCCGUGGGCGUUGGAAGAUUGAGAGGGGUUGCUCCUAGUACGAGAGGACCGGAGUGAACGCACCACUGGUGUUCGGGUUGUCAUGCCAAUGGCAUUGCCCGGUAGCUAAGUGCGGAAGAGAUAACCGCUGAAAGCAUCUAAGCGGGAAACUUGCCUCGAGAUGAGUCUUCCCUGUCGCUUUAAGUGACCUAAAGGAACGUUUAAGACUAAGACGUUGAUAGGCUGGGUGUGUAAGCGUAGCGAUACGUUGAGCUAACCAGUACUAAUGAACCGUGAGGCUUAACCUGACAACACCGAAAGUGUUUUG
Molecule: ribosomal RNA, 1744 nt
Filed under: Proteus mirabilis
Lineage: Bacteria; Pseudomonadati; Pseudomonadota; Gammaproteobacteria; Enterobacterales; Morganellaceae
Description: bacterial LSU rRNA
Rfam family: Bacterial large subunit ribosomal RNA
Source: RNAcentral